RNAcentral lists this ribosomal RNA (468 nucleotides) under uncultured bacterium. RNAcentral describes it as "partial 16S ribosomal RNA". It matches the Rfam family "Bacterial small subunit ribosomal RNA", at positions 28 to 507 of the family's 1533-position model. The record is from RNAcentral.
GACGAACGCUGGCGGCGUGCUUAACACAUGCAAGUCGAACGGAAAGGCCCUGCUUUUGUGGGGUGCUCGAGUGGCGAACGGGUGAGUAACACGUGAGUAACCUGCCCUUGACUUUGGGAUAACUUCAGGAAACUGGGGCUAAUACCGGAUAGGAGCUCCUGCUGCAUGGUGGGGGUUGGAAAGUUUCGGCGGUUGGGGAUGGACUCGCGGCUUAUCAGCUUGUUGGUGGGGUAGUGGCUUACCAAGGCUUUGACGGGUAGCCGGCCUGAGAGGGUGACCGGCCACAUUGGGACUGAGAUGCGGCCCAGACUCCUACGGGAGGCAGCAGUGGGGAAUAUUGCACAAUGGGCGGAAGCCUGAUGCAGCAACGCCGCGUGCGGGAUGACGGCCUUCGGGUUGUAAACCGCUUUCGCCUGUGACGAAGCGUGAGUGACGGUAAUGGGUAAAGGAGCACCGGCUAACUACGUG